UUACACCAGAUGCAAGGCCAUGUUUUGUUUACAUAUUCUAAUAUUCUAUUGAUGAGUUGUUGGCCUGUGUUAAUUUUGUUGCCUUUAUUGUUUGUUCUUGCUGUUAUAAUGCUGAUGUUGAUUUUUGUGGAAAGCAGAACAAACUGUUCAUAUCUGGGAACAAUUUUCCAUCAUAUUGUCUAUAGUAUGCUGAAUAAGGUUUCUGGAAGAAAUGCAAAGUUCGGAGGUAACCAGGAUCAUUCUUAUUAGAAAGUGAAGGUUAUGCCUUGAAAACAUAUUCUGGAUGAAAAGAGUACAUUGAUUUCAUGGGUGAGCAGAAAGAUUAGUUUCUUACUCAGAUCAGAUACGUAGCAAAUAUUUCUUUAGAUGGAUGUAGUCUCUUGUCUCAUGAACUGCCAGAAACAUUAUUUAAGGAAAUUUAAUAGUCUACGUGUGAGCUUUUUUAAAUGAAUAUUGAUCUCAAUAAUUGACUAAAA
Macadamia integrifolia is the source of this 476-nucleotide long non-coding RNA. RefSeq lists it as uncharacterized. NCBI's taxonomy places the organism in Eukaryota, Viridiplantae, Streptophyta, Magnoliopsida, Proteales, Proteaceae. The transcript is spliced from 2 exons. The record is from RefSeq and is a predicted model, not a curated record.